GGUUGGUCCACGUGCAGUGCUGUUUACAACUAAUUGAUCAUAGUCAGUUUCAGAUUCAUUUGUUCCUUCUUUACUCUUGCUAUUUCACUUGACAAACCUUAA
Y RNA from Callithrix jacchus (white-tufted-ear marmoset), 102 nucleotides. It matches the Rfam family "Y RNA". Rfam says of the family: Y RNAs are components of the Ro ribonucleoprotein particle (Ro RNP), in association with Ro60 and La proteins. Lineage: Eukaryota; Metazoa; Chordata; Mammalia; Primates; Cebidae. The record is from Ensembl.